AAUGAACGUUGGCGGCGUGGAUUAGGCAUGCAAGUCGAGCGCUCAUAGCAAUAUGGGAGCGGCGAACGGCGUAGUAAGACGUAGGAACGUACCCUCGGGUCGGGGAUAGCUAUGGGAAACUGUAGGUAAUACCCGAUAAUCUCUGCGGAGCAAAGGUGUGAUUCCGCCUGAGGAGCGGCUUACGCGAUAUUAGCUAGUUGGUGGGGUAAUGGCCUACCAAGGCGAUGAUGUCUAGGGGGGUGUGAGAGCAUGGCCCCCACGACCGGAACUGAGAUACUGUCCGGACACCUACGGGUGGGCUGCAGUCGAGAAUCUUCCGCAAUGGACGAAAGUACUGACGGAGCGACGCCG
This 351-nucleotide ribosomal RNA is filed under the name uncultured bacterium. Its description in RNAcentral is "bacterial SSU rRNA". It matches the Rfam family "Bacterial small subunit ribosomal RNA", at positions 29 to 399 of the family's 1533-position model. The record is from RNAcentral.